This 416-nucleotide unclassified non-coding RNA is filed under the name soil metagenome. RNAcentral describes it as "partial contains 5.8S ribosomal RNA, internal transcribed spacer 2, and large subunit ribosomal RNA". The stretch from base 1 to 120 matches the Rfam family "5.8S ribosomal RNA", at positions 35 to 154 of the family's 154-position model. The record is from RNAcentral.
GAUGAAGAACGUAGCGAAAUACGAUAAGUAAUGUGAAUUGCAGAAUUCAGUGAAUCAUCGAAUCUUUGAACGCACCUUGCACUCCUUGGUAUUCCGAGGAGUACGCCUGUUCGAGUGUUAUGAAGCUCUCAAAACGCAAUUGGCUUAAAACCUGAUUGUUGUUUUGGAUUUGAACUUUGCCGUGUUAUAACGGCUGGUUUUAAAAGUAUUAGCUGGUACUAGAACGAAUUGGUUCUACUCAACGUGAUAAUUAUCUGAUCGUUGAGGACAUUCCUUUCACGAGGAAUGGCCAUAGUAAAUUCAAUGGACUGCUUCUAAUCUGGCUUUAAUUCUUUAUUGGAUUAACCACUUUUCAAAUCUGACCUCGAAUCAGGUGGGACUACCCGCUGAACUUAAGCAUAUCAAUAAGCGGAGGA